UACGGGGGGGGCAAGCGUUGUUCGGAAUUACUGGGCGUAAAGGGCUCGUAGGUGGCCAACUAAGUCAGACGUGAAAUCCCUCGGCUUAACCGGGGAACUGCGUCUGAUACUGGAUGGCUUGAGUUUGGGAGAGGGAUGCGGAAUUCCAGGUGUAGCGGUGAAAUGCGUAGAUAUCUGGAGGAACACCGGUGGCGAAGGCGGUCUGCUGGGCAGUAGCUGACACUGAUGCGCGACAGCGUGGGGAGCAAACAGG
Molecule: ribosomal RNA, 253 nt
Filed under: uncultured bacterium
Lineage: Bacteria
Description: partial 16S ribosomal RNA
Rfam family: Bacterial small subunit ribosomal RNA
Source: RNAcentral